AACCUUAUGGACCUGCGGGCGUAUACCUGCGGAAGGAUCAUUACAGGGGUUUUAAAUGCUAAGCUUUGGAGGUGGGGGUUUUUCGCCUCCCCUCCGGGCGGCAUUCUAACCACCAUAAUUCACCGUGUGCACUCAUUUGGACUAUGAAAAUACUUCAUGGUCCUCAAUCUUUCUACGUCUUAUCACAUGUCUGAUGUAUUAUUUUUCAAAUAUUGAUAAAAUACAACUUUCAACAACGGA
This 240-nucleotide unclassified non-coding RNA is filed under the name soil metagenome. Its description in RNAcentral is "partial contains 5.8S ribosomal RNA, internal transcribed spacer 2, and large subunit ribosomal RNA". The record is from RNAcentral.